This 431-nucleotide ribosomal RNA is filed under the name uncultured bacterium. Its description in RNAcentral is "bacterial SSU rRNA". It matches the Rfam family "Bacterial small subunit ribosomal RNA", at positions 28 to 462 of the family's 1533-position model. The record is from RNAcentral.
GAUGAACGCUGGCGGCGUGCCUAAUACAUGCAAGUCGAACGGAGACAUUAGCAAUAAUGUCUUAGUGGCGAACGGGUGAGUAACGCGUUGGUGACCUGCCCCGAAGAGGGGGAUAACAGUCCGAAAGGAUUGCUAAUACCCCAUAUGGUCGUUUGGAUUAGAUGCCUUACGACUAAACGGAUUUAUUCGCUUCGGGAGGGGCCUGCGUCCCAUCAGCUAGUUGGUAAGGUAAUGGCUUACCAAGGCGAUGACGGGUAGGGGACCUGAGAGGGUGGCCCCCCACAAUGGAACUGAAACACGGUCCAUACACCUACGGGUGGCAGCAGUAGGGAAUAUUGGUAAUCUGGGAAACCGGGAACCAGCAACGCCGCGUGCGCGAUGAAGGCCUCGGUUGUAAGACGACUUUUGUAGGGAGUGAGGAAGGACGAGUA